UCGAGAAUCUUCGGCAAUGGGCGCAAGCCUGACCGAGCGACGCCGCGUGGAGGAUGAAGGCCUUCGGGUUGUAAACUCCUGUCGAGGGGGAAGAAGGCCGGGUAACCGGCUUGACUUAUCCCUGGAGGAAGCACGGGCUAAGUUCGUGCCAGCAGCCGCGGUAAGACGAACCGUGCGAACGUUAUUCGGAAUCACUGGGCUUAAAGCGCGUGUAGGCGGGACGGCACGUCGGUCGCUGAAAUCCCCCGGCUCAACCGGGGAACGGGCGCCGAUACGACCGCCCUGGAGGGACGUAGGGGGACCUGGAACUUCCGGUGGAGCGGUGAAAUGCGUUGAGAUCGGAAGGAACGCCCGUGGCGAAAGCGAGGUCCUGGACGUCUUCUGACGCUGAGACGCGAAAGCCAGGGGAGCGAACG
Molecule: ribosomal RNA, 416 nt
Filed under: uncultured Candidatus Nostocoida sp.
Lineage: Bacteria; Bacillati; Actinomycetota; Actinomycetes; Micrococcales; Intrasporangiaceae
Description: bacterial SSU rRNA
Rfam family: Bacterial small subunit ribosomal RNA
Source: RNAcentral